UCUUUCGGUAAAGACAGUUAGGCAGAAAAAAAUCGUCAGAUCUUUAGUAAAGGGGUAAAAUCUAAAUACUAAAAGUUAUUUCUAACACGAUUUAUUUUAAAGGCUGAAUCUGUGACAACUUUAAGGGAAACUGGGAUUGGAUACCCCAUUAUUUUUAGUAAUAAAUUUGAUUUAAAUAUACCAGAGUACUACGAAUAAAAAGUUUAAAACUCAAAGAGCUUGGCGGUGUUUUAGACCCCUCAGGGGAACCUGUCUCAUAAUCGACAAUCCACGCUAGACCCGACCCUCUAUAGCAAUUCAGCCUGUAUACCGUCGUCGUCAGGUAACUUCUUAAAAUAUAGCAGUUAGCUUGAGAAUUUUAUUAAUUAAUACGUCAGAUCAAGGUGCAGCUUAUAAGAGGGAGAGGAUGGGUUACAAUUAUAAAUUUAUAAUUACGGAAGACGCUCAAAACAGGGCAUCCAAAGGAGGACUUGAAAGUAAUUCUAAUUAUGUAAAUAGAAUGAAUAAGGCUCUGAAACGUG
This 521-nucleotide ribosomal RNA is filed under the name Conus amphiurgus juliae. Its description in RNAcentral is "partial 12S ribosomal RNA". The record is from RNAcentral. Lineage: Eukaryota; Metazoa; Mollusca; Gastropoda; Neogastropoda; Conidae.